UAGGGAAUCUUCCGCAAUGGACGAAAGUCUGACGGAGCAACGCCGCGUGAGUGAUGAAGGUCUUCGGAUCGUAAAACUCGGUUGUUAGGGAAGAACAAGUAUCGGAGUCACUGCCGGUACCUUGACGGUACCUAACCAGAAAGCCACGGCUAACUACGUGCCAGCAGACG
RNAcentral lists this ribosomal RNA (170 nucleotides) under uncultured Bacillus sp. Its description in RNAcentral is "partial 16S ribosomal RNA". It matches the Rfam family "Bacterial small subunit ribosomal RNA", at positions 355 to 517 of the family's 1533-position model. Lineage: Bacteria; Bacillati; Bacillota; Bacilli; Caryophanales; Bacillaceae. The record is from RNAcentral.